This 496-nucleotide ribosomal RNA is filed under the name uncultured bacterium. RNAcentral describes it as "partial 16S ribosomal RNA". It matches the Rfam family "Bacterial small subunit ribosomal RNA", at positions 28 to 507 of the family's 1533-position model. The record is from RNAcentral.
GAUGAACGCUGGCGGCGUGCCUAAUACAUGCAAGUCGAGCGAACGGACGAGAAGCUUGCUUCUCUGAUGUUAGCGGCGGACGGGUGAGUAACACGUGGAUAACCUACCUAUAAGACUGGGAUAACCUCGGGAAACCGUAGCUAAUACCGGAUAAUAUUUUGAACCGCAUGGUUCAAAAGUGAAUGACGGUCUUGCUGUCACUUAUAGAUGGAUCCGCGCUGCAUUAGCUAGUUGGUAAGGUAACGGCUUACCAAGGCAACGGUGCAUAGCCGACCUGUGAGGGGGAUCGGCCACGCAGGAGAUGAGCCGCGGUACAGAAUCCACGGGAGGCAGCAGUAGGGAAUCUUACGCAAUGGACGAAAGCCUGGCGGAGCAACGCGGCGUGAGUGAUGAAGGUCUUCGGAUCGUAAAACUCGGUUAUUAGGGAAGAACAUAUGUGUAAGUUACUGUGCACAUCUUGACGGUACCUAAUCAGAAAGCCACGGCUAACUACGUG